Molecule: long non-coding RNA, 1681 nt
Filed under: Androctonus crassicauda
Lineage: Eukaryota; Metazoa; Arthropoda; Arachnida; Scorpiones; Buthidae
Source: RNAcentral
UCAUAACUAUAUGUAUAUUUAUAUAUAUAACUACGUGUGCGUGUGUGUGUGUGUACACAUAGGAUAUUUUAUUUGGUAAUAAACUUACUGUGUUGGGAAAAAGUGAGAUAAGAUGUAAAAUUUCAGCUAUGAGAUAUUGUUCAUCACUGUAACAAACUCUCCCAUUUUCGGGAAACUAUCUAAACAUACUAAAAAGGUGAAAUAAUUCAUUGAAGUUGACACACAAACAUGAAAAGAAAAUAAGCUGUAAAGAAUGUACUACUCUGCACAAGGACACCUUCUAUAACAUUAAAAUUAAAUAAGCAAUUUGAUGUUGGAGAUAAGUCUUAUUACAUGCAGGUGUUGCAGAAACUCUAUGUGAAAGAAUGAGAAAUAGUUUAUUAAUUAUAAACAGAAAAAGAAAGGAAUGGUUUUGUUUUCUUUUUCCUUGGGAAGGAAGGGGAAAGAUUAGGCAGCUCUCCCCUGAAAGAGAGGGUGGUUCGAAGGGAGGCGGAAUGAUAAGACACAUCGAGAAGUCACUCACUGGUCUUGGGAUGAAAAGAUGUGUCAAAGAAUUGCUUGCUGGAGAUCAAUAGUACCAAAGGUGAAGGAAGAGCAGAUUGGCAUAAUUAAUUCCAAAAGGAAGAAAAGACAAGGAAACCACUGUCAUAUAAGAAACUUAUAGAAAUUUCUGAUUAAUUUUCAACUAUUUCAGACUGAACAACCAUAUCAGUUAGUGUGUGUCUGACUUCAAAAGUGACAGACUUUAUUUUGUGAUAUAUUACAAGGCAUUUAUCCUCCUAUGAUGUUCUAUACAUGCUGAACUUGUAACACUCUCUCUCUUUACCUUCUUCAAUAAAUCUUUGAUUUGUUUAAAGUUGUUUUUGAGUCAGUCAGUCAGAAAAAUCCAUUAUUCUCCUAUUCUUACUCAUAAGCUCAUAAAUAUUUAAGGCUAAGACUUAUCAUUUUGUCUGCCGGUCCUGCACACUUCACACUGAUGUCUAGUGGGAUAGAAGUAAUUUGGAUCAUAGAAGUUAAAUGGACCAAAAAGGAGUAAAGAUAAAAUUUGUGGCAAGUAAUACUCCAAAAUAGCUAACAGUGGCUAUCUUGGAGUAUUAUUAUUUGCUACAAAUUCUGUACAUCUACUCACUCAGGAACAGCUCAGAGAUUUGCUUUCUGCUUUCAUUAGUUUAAUUCUAUGUUUUGGUGGUGAAUUGUCUGAAUGUAUCACUGUUUUUGAUACAAAGAAAUUGCCACAUUGGCAUCUUGGACAGAUUGCCAAUGUUUAGGAAUAACCAAGUGCAAACUUUAGGCAUUGCAAGGGAAUACACAUGGCAGGAUUUCAAAAUGAAAGACAUAAAAGACUACAAAUCAUUUAAGACUCAAAUGAUGAAAUGAUUUGCUAAGAUUCCUUAUGUAGUUAGAUUAUAGCACUUUCAUACAUGCUUACAACAAAGGAGUGAGGAUGUACAAACAUACAUAGUUAAAUUACAAUCUCUGGCAACCGAAACUACAGUAGAAGUAGCAAGCACUAUGAUAGAAGAUAAUAGCAGAUAUGAUAGAAGUAAAGGAGGAAAAGCAGUAGUCAACAGUGUCAGAAAAUAAACUGGACAAGUGACUGAGUUCAGUUUCUUAAUGGGAUCUGUGAGAAAAUUAAAAGAAAUGUAAUUGCUCAUGAUCCUAAAACUUUUGAGGAAAGCAC